RNAcentral lists this ribosomal RNA (440 nucleotides) under uncultured bacterium. RNAcentral describes it as "SSU rRNA". It matches the Rfam family "Bacterial small subunit ribosomal RNA", at positions 26 to 518 of the family's 1533-position model. The record is from RNAcentral.
AGAGCGAACGCUGGCGGCAGGCUUAACACAUGCAAGUCGAGCGCCCCGCAAGGGGAGCGGCAGACGGGAGAGUAACACGUGGGAACGUACCCUUCAGUUCGGAACAACCCAGGGAAACUUGGGCUAAUACCGAAUACGUCCGUAAGGAGAAAGAUUUAUCGCUGAAGGAUCGGCCCGCGUCUGAUUAGCUAGUUGGUGGGUAACGCCCACCAAGGCUACGAUCAGUAGCUGGUCUGAGAGGAUGAUCAGCCUCACUGGGACUGAGACACGGCCCAGACUCCUACGGGAGGCAGCAGUGGGGAAUAUUGGACAAUGGGCGCAAGCCUGAUCCAGCCAUGCCGCGUGGGUGAUGAAGGCCCUAGGGUUGUAAAGCCCUUUCGGCGGGAAGAUAAUGACGGUACCCGCAGAAGAAGCCCGGCUAACUUCGCGCCAGCAGCCGC